RNAcentral lists this ribosomal RNA (301 nucleotides) under uncultured bacterium. RNAcentral describes it as "partial 16S ribosomal RNA". It matches the Rfam family "Bacterial small subunit ribosomal RNA", at positions 510 to 808 of the family's 1533-position model. The record is from RNAcentral.
AGUCGCCGCGGGAAUACAGAGGGUGCGAGCGUUAAUCGGAUUUACUGGGCGUAAAGCGUGCGUAGGCGGCUUUUUAAGUCGGAUGUGAAAUCCCUGAGCUUAACUUAGGAAUUGCAUUCGAUACUGGGAAGCUAGAGUAUGGGAGAGGAUGGUAGAAUUCCAGGUGUAGCGGUGAAAUGCGUAGAGAUCUGGAGGAAUACCGAUGGCGAAGGCAGCCAUCUGGCCUAAUACUGACGCUGAGGUACGAAAGCAUGGGGAGCAAACAGGAUUAGAUACCCGCGUAGUCCCUGUCUCUUAUACA